RNAcentral lists this ribosomal RNA (442 nucleotides) under uncultured bacterium. RNAcentral describes it as "partial 16S ribosomal RNA". It matches the Rfam family "Bacterial small subunit ribosomal RNA", at positions 338 to 795 of the family's 1533-position model. The record is from RNAcentral.
CCUACGGGAGGCAGCAGUAGGGAAUCUUUCACAAUGGGCGAAAGCCUGAUGGAGCAACGCCGCGUGCAGGAUGAAGGCCUUCGGGUUGUAAACUGCUUUUAUAAGCGAGAAAUAUGAUGGUAACUUAUGAAUAAGGAUCGGCUAACUACGUGCCAGCAGCCGCGGUCAUACGUAGGAUCCGAGCAUUAUCCGGAGUGACUGGGUGUAAAGAGUUGCGUAGGUGGCAUAAUAAGUAGCUAGUGAAAUCUGGUGGCUCAACCAUUCAGACUAUUAGCUAAACUGUUAAGCUCGAGACCGUUAGGGGUAACUGGAAUUUCUAGUGUAGGAGUGAAAUCCGUAGAGAUUAGAAGGAACACCAAUAGCGUAGGCAGGUUGCUGGGACGGUUCUGACACUAAGGCACGAAAGCGUAGGGAGCAAACGGGAUUAGAUACCCGAGUAGUC